Molecule: ribosomal RNA, 1531 nt
Filed under: Aneides hardii (Sacramento mountain salamander)
Lineage: Eukaryota; Metazoa; Chordata; Amphibia; Caudata; Plethodontidae
Description: large subunit ribosomal RNA
Rfam family: Bacterial large subunit ribosomal RNA
Source: RNAcentral
GUCUAAUUCUAGCCUAUAUUCACACAUAUAUUACUUCUCCCCCCCCCCAAAACAUUUAUAUAUGUUAGUAUGGGUGACAAAAAACAUUUUAAGCGCAAUAAACAAAGUACUGCAAAGGAAAGAUGAAAUAAAAAUGAAAUAAUUUUAAACAUAAAAAAGCAAAGACUCAUACUUUUACCUUUCGCAUAAUGGUUUAGCCAGUCCACAUUAACAAAGAGAACUUUAGUUAUAUACCCCGAAAUCAGAUGAGCUACCCUUAAGCAGCAAUAUGAGCAAACUCUUCUCUGUGGCAAAAGAGUGAGAAGACUUUAAGGUAGAGGUGAAAGACCUAACGAACCUGAAGAUAGCUGGUUAUYUGAGAAUGAAUUUAAGUUCAACUAAAAGCACUAAACCACCAACAAGACUAAUAAUGCUUUUAUUAUAAUUAAUUAGGGUACAGCCUAAUUAAUAAAGGAUACAACCUACAUGCAUAAAUAAAGAUUAUAUUAUAAGAGGAGUUCUAUAAUGUGGGCCUAAAAGCAGCCAACACAUAAUAGCGUCAAAGCUUAAUUUAUUAAAUACUUACUAUUCUAAUAAUUAAUCCUAAUUUACCCAAACAAUCAAAUAAAUCUAUAAAAUAGAUGAAUUACUACUAAAAUAAGUAAUAAGGAAUGAAAUCCUCUGAAAUGUAUGUAUAAAUCAUAAUGAACAAUCACUGAUGAUUAACAACUAUAUUUAUUCUACAAGAAUAAAAUAUCACAAAAUGUUAACCCAACACAGGAACAUUAAAGAAAGACUUAAAAUCUGAAAAGGAACUCGGCAAACCCUGAGCUUCGCCUGUUUACCAAAAACAUCGCCUCUUGCCUAACCUAUAUAAGAGGUACUGCCUGCCCAGUGACACCUGUUUAACGGCCGCGGUAUUAUGACCGUGCAAAGGUAGCGUAAUCACUUGUCCCUUAAAUAGUGACCAGUAUGAAUGGCAAAACGAGAGCUCAACUGUCUCCUCGGAUUAGUCAAUGAAAUUGAUCUUUCCGUGCAGAAGCGGAAAUAUAAAUAUAAGACGAGAAGACCCUGUGGAGCUUUAAACUUUAACUAAUACUUAAUAAUUAAUAAAUAUUUAGUGCAGGUUUUAGGUUGGGGCGACCACGGGGUAAAAUUAAACCCCCGAGAUGUGAUACUAAGAAGAACACUUCAAACAACAAUAUAAUUGACAUAAUUGACCCAAUAAUUGAUCAACGAACCAAGUUACCCCAGGGAUAACAGCGCAAUCCUUUCUUAGAGUCCCUAUCGACGAAUGGGUUUACGACCUCGAUGUUGGAUCAGGACCCCCAAAUGGUGUAACAGCUAUUAAAGGUUCGUUUGUUCAACGAUUAAAGUCCUACGUGAUCUGAGUUCAGACCGGAGUAAUCCAGGUCAGUUUCUAUCUAUAAAUAAUUUUUCCUAGUACGAAAGGACCGGAAAAAUAAGGCCCAUAAAAUUUAGGCCUUCUCAACAACUUUUGAAAUCAAAUAAAAGGGGAGAACGAGAAAAACCAUAAAUCUAGAAACGAUUU